RNAcentral lists this ribosomal RNA (629 nucleotides) under uncultured Lachnospiraceae bacterium. RNAcentral's name for it is "bacterial SSU rRNA". It matches the Rfam family "Bacterial small subunit ribosomal RNA", at positions 63 to 707 of the family's 1533-position model. Lineage: Bacteria; Bacillati; Bacillota; Clostridia; Lachnospirales; Lachnospiraceae. The record is from RNAcentral.
UUCAUUGAGGCUUUGGCGGAUUUGGUCUGUUUCUAGUGGCGGACGGGUGAGUAACGCGUGGGUAACCUGCCUUAUACUGGGGGAUAACAGCCAGAAAUGACUGCUAAUACCGCAUAAGCGCACAGAACCGCAUGGUUCGGUGUGAAAAACUCCGGUGGUAUAAGAUGGACCCGCGUUGGAUUAGCUAGUUGGCAGGGCAGCGGCCUACCAAGGCGACGAUCCAUAGCCGGCCUGAGAGGGUGAACGGCCACAUUGGGACUGAGACACGGCCCAGACUCCUACGGGAGGCAGCAGUGGGGAAUAUUGCACAAUGGGGGAAACCCUGAUGCAGCGACGCCGCGUGAAGGAAGAAGUAUCUCGGUAUGUAAACUUCUAUCAGCAGGGAAGAUAAUGACGGUACCUGACUAAGAAGCCCCGGCUAACUACGUGCCAGCAGCCGCGGUAAUACGUAGGGGGCAAGCGUUAUCCGGAUUUACUGGGUGUAAAGGGAGCGUAGACGGCGCAGCAAGUCUGAUGUGAAAGGCAGGGGCUUAACCCCUGGACUGCAUUGGAAACUGCUGUGCUUGAGUGCCGGAGGGGUAAGCGGAAUUCCUAGUGUAGCGGUGAAAUGCGUAGAUAUUAGGAGGAAC